Molecule: long non-coding RNA, 709 nt
Filed under: Pan troglodytes (chimpanzee)
Lineage: Eukaryota; Metazoa; Chordata; Mammalia; Primates; Hominidae
Description: long non-coding RNA NONPTRT000285
Source: RNAcentral
UUUUGUCACUGCUGCUGAAAUUUUAAAUAUAUAAGCGUUUUAUAAGUAAUAGCAAUAACUGAUGUUUAUUGAGCACUUACUAUGGGCCAAUCCCAAUUGCUUUCUGCUCAGCAGAGGAUUACAAUAAUGCCUAUUUAUCCAGCUCUGUCCAUCCAAGGAUUUUAGAUACAUCAUAAACUCAUCAAUUAAUCAGAGACAUGGCACCCAUUUCAAAAUGCUGGGAGAAUUACAUCCUGGAAGAUUACGAGAAAUGCUCACGUCGACAGAGUAAAUCAAGAACUAUUUCCUGAUGGAUUCCUGAACGGCACACCAAGUACUGAAAUGAAGAGGGCUGUCUCCAGCACUGAUUCACAAAGUAUAUCUCAAGUGGAAGAAAACUUCCGGAAUAAAACGUCACUUUACUUUGAAGCAUCUGUUAAACUUGAAAAAUUAAACUGAGGUAGAAUGGCAAAACUCAAGAGAGCAUUUAUCAAAAUGGCUGUGCAACACCCCUCAUGUCUUAACACUCUUUAGGGACUUAUAUAAGCAACACUUCAUGUUCGAAUGUCAAAAUCCACGUGUAAGGCUUAAAAGUAGUAUGGGAUGCUUAAGAAUGCUUUUCAGGGCCAGUUAUUCUUUGAUAUUUAUCACUUCAUGGUGCUGACACCUGCUUCUAAUUUUAAGAGUUCGUUCUUCCAGUGGAUUUUUUUUUCCUUCAGAAAUCUUAUCC